AAGACCUGGCGGCAGGCUUACACAUGCAAGUCGAACGGUAGCAGGAGAAAGCUUGCUUUCUUGCUGACGAGUGGCGGACGGGUGAGUAAUGCUUGGGAAUCUGGCUUAUGGAGGGGGAUAACUACUGGAAACGGUAGCUAAUACCGCGUAAUAUCUUCGGAUUAAAGGGUGGGAUCUUCGGACCACUUGCCAUAAGAUGAGCCCAAGUGGGAUUAGGUAGUUGGUGGGGUAAAGGCCUACCAAGCCGACGAUCUCUAGCUGGUCUGAGAGGAUGGCCAGCCACACUGGAACUGAGACACGGUCCAGACUCCUACGGGAGGCAGCAGUGGGGAAUAUUGCACAAUGGGGGGAACCCUGAUGCAGCCAUGCCGCGUGAAUGAAGAAGGCCUUCGGGUUGUAAAGUUCUUUCGGUGAUGAGGAAGGCAGAUAAGUUAAUAGCUUAUGUGAUUGACGUUAGUCACAGAAGAAGCACCGGCUAACUCCGUGCCAGCAGCCGCGGUAAU
RNAcentral lists this ribosomal RNA (503 nucleotides) under uncultured bacterium. RNAcentral describes it as "bacterial SSU rRNA". It matches the Rfam family "Bacterial small subunit ribosomal RNA", at positions 36 to 524 of the family's 1533-position model. The record is from RNAcentral.